UAAUACAUGAUGACUUCCACGUUUAGCUUCUCUGGUGAACAGAACAGCAUGAGAGACUUUUCCAGAGUUAUUUUCAUCAAGUAAAUGUAA
This is a non-coding RNA of Balearica pavonina (black crowned-crane), 90 nucleotides long. NCBI's taxonomy places the organism in Eukaryota, Metazoa, Chordata, Aves, Gruiformes, Gruidae. The record is from Rfam.